UGUGAGGCCUCCCCUCAGCCUCCUUCUCUCCAGGCUGAACAGGCCAAUGGCCUCAGUCACACCUCACACAGCUUCCCCUCAGGUCUCUUCACCAUCUUCGUAGCCCUCCUUUGGAUUCUCUCUAAUAGCUAAAUGUAUUUUGUGUAUUGUGGCACCCGAAACUGCCCCAGCACUGGAGGAAAGAUGACAAACCUAUGAAAUCUGAAGAAAAACACUUGAGAAGUGGUAUCUUCUGGGAUCUUCAGUCCCACACAUAGAGAAGAAAAUUGAAAAUUCCACUGAACAUAGAAGUUUAUGUCACCUGAACACUUAACACAAGCAACAGAGAAAGUGACUGAAGACAGCAGACAAGGGAGGAGCUCCACAUCUCCAAGAUGCCACUUGGGAGAACAUCUCUCCUUCUACUGACUACCCAGAAGAUCUGUGGAGAUUAUUAGAUUGCUGAAAUACACAGUUUAAUUACUUUGCACAAAUCAGAUGCUGUGAUUUCUCUACUAAUCAUCAACUGCCUGCAGAAAUUGCUCCUAAACCCACUAUUUACCUAAGUACACAUGCUACUUUGGAGCUAUUUUGCUUUGAGGUAACCAUGCAGACUUUUGAAGACACGUUUUCUAAAGCAAGCUCUAUGUGCUGGCUCUAAAGCUCACUUUUAAAAGCUGCAGUCAAUUUUAUCGGUUGAAUUACUUUGAAGACCAAUUUUUAUGAAGGAUUCUUUCAAACUCAGGCUGUUAAUUUAUUACGUGCUGAUCAGUAAUAUGAAAGAACUCUGUGUUUUGGAAGUUCAGUAGUUCUUAAUUAUGAACAGGCUUUGAAGCACCCAGCCAUGCAUGAGAGACUUCCUGAUGCCUCCUUGUCUCUUCCUGCAGCCUGGGCUCUUCCCUCCAAUGCUCAUAUUGCCUGGAAGGGUUUGCCUUUAUCUUGGAGAUUUUCUGAAUCAUCUAACUACUGAAAAAUUCAGAGUACAGAAUGUGACAGAUUCACAGUGCGAUUUAAUAUGACACAUCAUAUCCUGUGCAAUAAUACAAAAUCAGGGAAGGUUAAUCAAUAUUUAUGUCAGAGCUAGAGGACUCCAUGUUGUGUGUCUUUGUCCUACCUUCAGCAUAGAAAUUAACAAUUAUCCAUUAGAGAUACAGAGCCACUUUCUGAUCCUGCAGUAUUUGACUAAAAAGCCUGAGAGCAUGUCAGUGAUGCCUGAUGCAUUAGCAACAAACGUGGCUACAGGCUGUGGGGGAAUUCUCUCAGAAAUAUAUAUCUGAACAAUCCCAGGUUAUAAAUCACUGAGCAGCAAACUUCUUCCAUUGAAACUAUCAGUUAAUGGGGAUCCUGCAAAGACAGAACAAACUGGUCUAGGCAUCUUGGUUCAACUGAAAAUCAAUUAGAUUUUAAAUGACACUAAACCACAGUCUCACAAAGUGCAACACUUUUGUUUUCUAACUUGCAGUCUGGUGUUGACGAAGCCCUGGAUUCAUUAAUUAUAUUCUAUGCAUCCAGUAUAAGGUGGUUAUCUAAGCUUCAUGUGUAAUUAGCAGAGAAAGAAACAAAGCCCAAAAACCAAUAUCCCUCUGAAAAAUCUCUUUGUUUGCAGUGGCUAUAGAGGUUGCUUUUAUGAAGUGCACUACUUCUGGACACCACAGAUGAGCAACCUUCUCUCUUCUUGCCCUUUUUUCUAGGUAUGUCAGGAAAAUCAAAAUUCAUACAAAUCACCUAUAAUGGAAUGGUAUGUUUCAAAGAAAAUAAUUUGGCCAAUGAAAGUAAAUUUCUGAAAUGAGAUGUGAUGUCAGGAUCCCACCUAAACCAGGAACUCUUAGAGGAGGACAAUGGGGUCAGAAGUUUUCUUUUUGUCUACCAUAUUGCUUUCCUCCUGCUACUUUUCAGCGUGUGAGAACUGUUAGUCCUGCACCAAAGGACUUGGAUCCUACAUCUGAGCAUUUCCAUCUCCUAAUUGUUUUCUGACUUAUAAAGACUGUAAUAAAUGUGAGGGAUUCAAACAUGACAGAGAUGAAUGCUGUGUCACAAUUUGGCUAGAUACAUAUUAUAGUAACUAUGAAAAUAUUCCCUCUGGACAAACUCAUGCACUUCUAUGAGUUUUUCCUUUCUUUGCUUGUCUUCCCUGCACCUCUACCUCUAAGCAGUCAAAAAGGAAAAGACUGAGGAAUAAAUCUUUUCCUCACAUAUUAUAUUUCUUUUUAAAAAUAUUUUCCAAAACAAUUGCAUGAAUUAUUCAUUACUUCUCUUUCUUUGUUCCUAUUAAUAUCAGCUUCCAGAGUUCUGUUUAAGAUUUUUUUUAUCCAGUCCUUUUGGUGCUUUGCUCAUUUCCAUUGAUGGGGGUGUUAUUUAUUUUGCAAAUUGAAAUGCCUGCAACUAAACUAUUAAUCCUAGGAAGACUUUGAUGAAAUUAUUUCAUUUCUCAGAAUAGUGGAAAUGCAAAAAAAAAAAAAAAUCUUUCACCUCUCCGAAGAAGGUUGCAAUGCUUAAUGAUUUUCAACAUGCAUUAGAGAGC
Long non-coding RNA from Passer domesticus (house sparrow), 2500 nucleotides. RefSeq lists it as uncharacterized. The record is from RefSeq and is a predicted model, not a curated record. The transcript is spliced from 3 exons. Lineage: Eukaryota; Metazoa; Chordata; Aves; Passeriformes; Passeridae.